Molecule: ribosomal RNA, 253 nt
Filed under: uncultured bacterium
Lineage: Bacteria
Description: partial 16S ribosomal RNA
Rfam family: Bacterial small subunit ribosomal RNA
Source: RNAcentral
UACGUAGGGCGCAAGCGUUAUCCGGAAUUAUUGGGCGUAAAGAGCUCGUAGGCGGUUUGUCGCGUCUGCCGUGAAAACCCGGGGCUCAACCCCGGGCCUGCAGCCGAUACGGGCAGACUAGAGUUCGGCAGGGGAGACUGGAAUUCCUGGUGUAGCGGUGAAAUGCGCAGAUAUCAGGAGGAACACCGGUGGCGAAGGCGGGUCUCUGGGCCGAUACUGACGCUGAGGAGCGAAAGCGUGGGGAGCGAACAGG